This 28-nucleotide non-coding RNA is filed under the name Cricetulus griseus (Chinese hamster). Lineage: Eukaryota; Metazoa; Chordata; Mammalia; Rodentia; Cricetidae. The record is from RNAcentral.
UAGUAUUGUUUUUCCCAGAUAUUUUAGG